GCUUCCUCGUCCGUCCAACUUAACGUGCAGGCUGCGCUUGUGCAUGUUCGAGAAGCUGGCCGACUAGCUUGUAGGUCCGCCCUUGAAGGGCCUUAGUGUGGUCGAUCAGCUGCUCGUAACUGGAGAAAUCCAGUAUCGAAAUUGGAAGUCAUUAAGAGAAGAGGAACAAACAAAUGUAGAUAUGGAAGGAACAUACUAUGAAAGAUGCAAAAUAUUAAGAACGUGGAAAUCUUACACAUUCGGUCGAUUAGGUUCCAUAAUAACGGUUCCAGUCUUUGAAUCAAUCUUUGCAUCAAGUUUUGAGUUUCGGAUGAGAUUCACAACCCAUCUCUCACCCUCCUCGUAAUUUAAAUUCAGUUUCUCAAAAAGCACCCUUGAAACACAUAGAACAUCCAUUCAAUGUUGGAUCAAAAGCUAAGACAAGCAACUAAAAACACUAAUCUCAUAAGUAAAAGCAUAUCUUGAAAGAGUUAAGAAGACCAAUGGGAAGUAAAUCACUAUAAUAAGAGAUACUCGAGCCUAUGUUCCUCGGAUUUGGGUGAGUUUCAAAUACCGGUAUGUUUAAUUGUUUUCUAAGUUUUUCCAUGCAUUGAUAAUAGCAAACCAAAGGUUUAUGUUGUGAUGUUUUGUGAUCUGCGCAUGUGCCUGCUGUGCAGAUGAAAACAUGCAUUACAUCUGUUUUGAUUUAAUAUUUUGUACAAAAUUUCAUCAAUCCUUAACAUGCAAUUAGCCAUAAAAAAAUCAUAACUCAGUGCAAUGUUAUGGGAAACCCAGCAUGCAAAGCAGACUUUGAGCCUAUUGGCAAUUUAACAUUCAAAUGGAUGUCCUUCCGUGUCAUUUACUCAUAAGAAGAAGUCAAUUAUCCACAUAAGAAGCUAAUUAUAUAAGUUUGACAAAGCAGAAACUUACCCCAUAUCAAUGCGCUGAUGAAUUCUGCAGUAUGUCUCGAAGAUAAAUAGACGAGCAUUCUCAAGAAACUCAUCUUUUAAUGGGACAGUAUUAAAGUUGCCCUCUUCAACUCUUUUUCCAAGGAAAGGAUCAUUCAGUAUCACCUACAACAAAGACGGGAAAAUAAGGGUGUAAAGAUAGAUCCUACAAUUCUGAUAUCAAACAUAAUGCUAAAGGCAACCAAAAAAGAUGGCAAAACUUCAAGCUAAAACAUUGCACAAAUUUAUGGUAUAAGAUAGUACAAUCUAGCUUACUUCUUCGCACUCCUUCAUCUUCUUCUGUGCUCCGUCAAAUUCAUAGUUGACAUAAACACAUGCCAAAAACUCCGUGAUGGGAUCUUUGUAAGAGCACUGAUCUUGCUGGAUAACCUUGAUAAAUUCUUUGAAUUGAGGUCUUCUCCUUUUGUUGACAAUAAAAGCAGUGGCUAAGUACCUUAGAAGAUGGGGAGCACUGGUUUGAAUGGCAUUUAGAUACCUGGAAAGAAGCGAAAUCACCUUGUAAGAUGAGACAACUACACAAAGUGGGAUAACAGAGAAAGGAAAUAUAUAAACCCAGAGAAAUAAUGCGUUAACCAAUGAAAGAAAGCAAUAAAAACAUCUAAAUUCAAACACAAUUUUAUGUUUAGUUCCAACAACAAUCUCCCUUAUGAAACAAAAUUCCAAACUAAGCAGUAUGGCGAACAUAUCACCUACUUUAGCCUCAAAACUUUGAACAAACAUUUUGCAAAUUACAUGGCAGGCUGUGCGUUAACUUUUCAUAUUAGAAAAACCAUGCAAAUGAUAGAAGAAAUCCACAAAGUUUCUAAACAUGUUCCAUUCCAACACAAUCAAAACCGAAGCAUGUGAACACAGCAGGAUCUUGAAACAGAAGUAAGUCAUGGCAUAAAAAGACAGGAAAAUGCACAAAGAACAAAUAAGCACAGAUGUGACUACCACACAAAUGAUGCAACUAACAACAUCAGUAACAAGACAUGGAAACCUUAAGUUUAGUUGUUAAAGUGACAUACUUGUCUUGAUUAAAUAGGUCGAUGACCUGUGUUCUUCCAUUGUCAUGGUUGAAAAAGAUGAAGAGGCUCCAAUGCAUAAGCCAUAUUCUACUCUGAACUUGGUUCAAAGGUGAUGAGAAGCUCUGCAGCAAAAAGACCAAUAAAUGAGUCAACGAAUAAUCGGAAAGCAAAUUGUCAAAACAAAAACCGAAUAAUCAACGGGGAUAUAACCAAAACCUUGGAAUCGAUUAUUUCUUUCAAACGAUUAAGUUCUUCAAGAGCAAUAUCCCAGUUUUGCAUCAGUAUCUCGGCAGCAAGCUUCCCCCACAAUGCACUCAAGCUCCUUUCGCUGUUAGUACAUAAAGCCCGAUACUGAUACAGAUAGUCAGCAGCACCAGAGUAGUUGCCACACUCAAAUUGGAAUUUUGCAUACUGAUAUAAUGCCUCUAUUUGAUCUGGACCAAUCUGUUAAAAAUAUAAUUUUAUCCACCAUUAAAUUAAAAAAAACUUUAAUUAAUUCAAACCCAGGCAAAAUCAAAACUUUAACAACAAAGGUCAUGCUAGAAUUUUAGCACAAGAAAGCCUAUGCAUCUAUUUGGUUAUUCUUUAUAUUUUCCUUAAAAAUCACAUAAUGUUAUGACUAAUACAAAUUCACACUUGAAUGGGUUAUUCACUUAAAAUCAAGAAGGGGUUAAAAUAACAUAAAAAUAACCUAAAAUUCAUCAAAAAGGGGGGGGGGGGGCAGACCUGGUAGCGGUCAUUGAGCAUCUGGAGAUUAUACUGUUUAUCAGAACGCAAUUCCUGAACAGCGUUAGGGUUUUGCAAGAAAGUGACGAGAGGAGCGGCGGCAUCUUCCAAAGCUUUGAGACGAGCGACAACUUCGACUCUCCUCUCGACCAUGUCCUGAGGGACAUCAUCGGUGCGGUAAAGGCUCUUAUGGAUAUCCAUAGCGUAAUCGACCAUGUUUGUCUUGUUCAAAAGCUCAAUCUUUGCUUUCAAGAUCUGUUCAUCUGGGUAUAGUUGUCGCUCUUGCAAGAACUCCAGCAAUGGAAACACUAAGUGCCUGUCUAGGUUCGGGCCGAUACGUGGGGUUAGAUCGUAAGUAGCCAUUGCCAGGGUUUACUCUGGUUUCUGGUUUCGUGCUUUUUGUUUGAUAUAAACAAAUUUAUACUAUAUAUAUUCCUUCUCCACUCCCUUAAUUCAACUGGAGUUAAGAGUUAAAAUAUAGUUUUAAAUUAUUUUUUAUUUUCGAAUUAAAUAUAAUAAGUUGUUUUUACAAAAAAAAAAAUACAAACGAGUUUAAAAAAAUUUUAUUAAUAUUAUUUAUAAUAAUUACUAGAUAAUUGUUGGUCAUGCUUAAGUAAUUAAAUACGAUACUAAUAUAUUUUAUACUUAUUUAAAUUUAUUUUGAUCUGAAAUAUAUGUUUAAAAUUUCGUUUAAGUCACAUAUUGUUUGUAUUCCUCCUCAUCCUUCUUUGGGUACAAACAAUAUUAUUUGGGCACGCACGAUUUUAGGUUUUUUUAUCCAUAACGCCUUUUGGUUUUUUUUAAAAAGUUUUUGGAACCCAUAGUUGAAAAUUUCAAGGGCCACAAAGAGUUAAAUUUUUUCUUUAACUAGCCUUCAAACAAAGACUUUGUCUAAUAUGGAGUGAACUAGGAGGAACUGAUCAUAAUAUCUCACGUCUUGUUUGUGGCCAUGAAAUAGAAGACAUGCUCCAUGUGCUUCAAGAUUGUUCGACAACAAAGGAAGUUUGGUUAUAGGUAAUAUCUUUUGAUAGACAACAAUGUUUCUUCUCUAGGUCUCUUCCGGAAUGGUUGACUUUAAAUCUUGUCUAUCACGUCCAAUUACCUAGUAAGGGGUAAUUUGUCCUUGUUUAUUCGGUUUGAUUGCGUGGCGCAUUUGGAAGAAUAGGGACCUAUUCAUCUUUCAAGACAUCACUUUGAUGACUUUUGAUACUAUCAAAGUCUAGUUCAGUUAGGUACAACAGUUUGAGUUAAGUCACAAAGGCCAUCAGGUGGACAUACUUGUCCACUAACGAAGCAGUAGGUAGUGGUGAUGGCAAUGCUUCCGUUAGAGGUGUUCCACAGGACCAACAUGAGAACUGGAUAUUGGGAUUUAAUCACUACUUAGGGCGAUGGUCAGUUUUUAAGGCUGAGUUACGGUGAAUUUUAGAUGGCCUAUUAGUAUUGCUUAGCAAAGGAUUCAGAAAGGCCGCGAUUCAGUCUAAGGUGGUUAAGUUGGUUAACAAGUUCUGGUAUUACAAUGUUUAAAAGGAUCCCGAGAAUUUUAUGAGCUAAAGGACAAUAGAGCAUUAGACACGUGCUUAGAGAACCCAAUCAUGCUGCUGAUUAUUUGACUAACAUGAAUUUACUCAAGCCUUCAUGUCUUUGAUGUUACCCCAAAUGAAAUUCUAUAGAUUAUACAACCAGACAAGAAAGUUUUUGUUAAUCUCGUGUUGAUGUAGUUCAGUUUUUUAUUUAAACACUAAAAAACAAAUUUCGUUUAAGUGUACCCAUAUUUGUAACAUAUUUGUAAAUGGAUCAUUAUUAUCUUUAAGAGAGAGAUCCACUUACAUAUUAUUAUUUUUAAUAACACAUUUAAAUCCAAAGUUCUCAAAUCUCAACACAACGCUAUACUUUUAAUAACUCGGUACAAGCAUUUAAAAAAUUUCUUGACAUAAGUUGAAAGAGCAGAAUACAAUUUGGAUUUAGAUAAUGAUUUAUCAGUCUUGUUCCUACUCAAAAACUAAAAUCACUGUUAAAUUUGUCUGAAAGAAAUAAACAAUCAGCAAAUAGCUCAAAAUUGCAUAUAAAUUCAAGAGCUUCCUCGUCCAACUUAACGUGCAGGCUGCGCUUGUGCGGGUUCGAGAAGCUGGCCGACUAGCUUGUAGGUCCGCCCUUGAAGGGCCUUAGUGUGGUCGAUUAGCUGCUCGUAACUGCAGAAAUCCAGUAUCGAAAUUGGAAGUCAUUAAGAGAAGAGGAACAAACAAAUGUAGUUAUGGAAGGAACAUAGUAUGA
Molecule: long non-coding RNA, 4951 nt
Filed under: Gossypium raimondii (Peruvian cotton)
Lineage: Eukaryota; Viridiplantae; Streptophyta; Magnoliopsida; Malvales; Malvaceae
Description: long non-coding RNA (GRAI_LNC005981)
Source: RNAcentral